UACAGUAUCAGAACCCUUCAUUUGCCAAACAUGCAUAUCUAUCACUUGCCAAACAGGCAUAACAUUAUCAUUUGCCAAACAAGCAUAUAUAUCAUUUGCCAAACGGGCAUAUCCGUAUCAAUUGCCAAACAAGCAUAUAGUGACCACUACACACAAAACGUUGAACAUAAUCUUUCUAAACUAUAGGUACAUAUAUCUCAAAAUCAUCUUCAUAGUAUAAAGUCAUCCAUCAUCUAUACUAUAAAGAAGUGUGUGAAAACAUGUUCUAAAUAGUAUAUCGGCAUCCAUCAGAUAUCCUACAAAGAACAUGGUUUUGAUAGAAAAUAUGGUAUUCCAAAAUAAGCUCAGUAUAACAUGAUAAUCAAU
This 366-nucleotide long non-coding RNA is filed under the name Malus domestica (apple). RNAcentral describes it as "long non-coding RNA (MDOM_LNC006548)". Lineage: Eukaryota; Viridiplantae; Streptophyta; Magnoliopsida; Rosales; Rosaceae. The record is from RNAcentral.